UGGGGAAUAUUGCACAAUGGGCGCAAGCCUGAUGCAGCCAUGCCGCGUGUAUGAAGAAGGCCUUCGGGUUGUAAAGUACUUUCAGCGGGGAGGAAGGCGAUAAGGUUAAUAACCUUGUCGAUUGACGUUACCCGCAGAAGAAGCACCGGCUAACUCCGUGCCAGCAGCCGCGGUAAUACGGAGGGUGCAAGCGUUAAUCGGAGUUACUGGGCGUAAAGCGCACGCAGGCGGUCUGUCAAGUCGGAUGUGAAAUCCCCGGGCUCAACCUGGGAACUGCAUUCGAAACUGGCAGGCUAGAGUCUUGUAGAGGGGGGUAGAAUUCCAGGUGUAGCGGUGAAAUGCGUAGAGAUCUGGAGGAAUACCGGUGGCGAAGGCGGCCCCCUGGACAAAGACUGACGCUCAGGUGCGAAAGCGUGGGGAGCAAACA
RNAcentral lists this ribosomal RNA (427 nucleotides) under uncultured bacterium. Its description in RNAcentral is "partial 16S ribosomal RNA". It matches the Rfam family "Bacterial small subunit ribosomal RNA", at positions 355 to 774 of the family's 1533-position model. The record is from RNAcentral.